GGGAAAGCGAACAAGCCCCACACCCACCCCCUACCCUGGAGAUGGUGCAGGGGGCGAGCCUCCCUGAUCCCCCUAAUCCCCGCUCACAGCGCCUGCCCAGAGCACCUUGCCUGUCCCUCAGUUCUCUGUCACCACAACUCCUUGCAUCCUCCUGACCUGCAGGGCAGACCUGCAACCUGUCAUCUGCUCUGGUGAGCACAGCGCAGUCUGGGUGGCCCCAGAAGCGAGUGUUUGCUGAUGCAUCUGAUGUGUAAAAAGCACUAGGAACCUUUUUACAGCCCCCCACCCCACCCCCCACCUUGUUUCUCCUCCUCUCAGGGUAAUUUGCCAGUUAGAUCCAACAGACUCUUCAGUGGGAUCUUGCAUUCCUUGACACACAUGUGUGUGCAGACACACACAUACACACCCCUUGGUGAAUGCCAACUCAUUGAAGUAUUUGUCAGAAAGAGCAGAGCUAGAAGGUCAGCCUACUUGGGGAAGCACAAAAACAUAUAGACAGUCUCAAACACGGGAAUGGAUUGUGCUUCUCUCAUGUGUUUAAUGAAGUGCCGGCUAUUUCUUUUCAUAAGAGUCAAAGCACACAGAACUCUUCCUGGGAACUACAGGGGUGAGUGGGACAUUACUGUUUUUUUUUUUUGUUUUUUUGUUUUUUUUUUUUUUUUGGAGACAGAGUCUAGCUCUGU
RNAcentral lists this long non-coding RNA (683 nucleotides) under Homo sapiens (human). RNAcentral's name for it is "non-protein coding lnc-CYB5RL-2:2". The record is from RNAcentral. Lineage: Eukaryota; Metazoa; Chordata; Mammalia; Primates; Hominidae.